Oncorhynchus masou masou (cherry salmon) is the source of this 1109-nucleotide long non-coding RNA. RefSeq lists it as uncharacterized. The record is from RefSeq and is a predicted model, not a curated record. The transcript is spliced from 6 exons. NCBI's taxonomy places the organism in Eukaryota, Metazoa, Chordata, Actinopteri, Salmoniformes, Salmonidae.
UUGUCCAAUAGACGAUUGUUUUGGAAGAUGAACAUAGGCGCCAUUUCCCUCCCAGCUCUCUGAGCCGCUUAUUGGUGGCCAGCUGAAAGGAACCGAGGCGGCCAAGAAACUGCCGCACUGAGGCCGCCAUGUUGGCUGUUGUCUAAAUUCUGCUUCGUACGACUGGCGAUUUUUGGUAGAUCCCUAAUGGUGUCAGUUUCACAACUAACUGAACCCGUAGAAACCUUGAUUGGUGGAAUCUAGUCGGAGGUUUGAUUGGUCUGAAGGACAGAUCCAAACGUAGUCUUUAUUGGUUAGAGAGCUUUACCCCAGUUUUGCAAACUUUCCAUUGAUCAGCAGUACCUGUUGUUCAGUGGCGAAUUAACUCUAACACAUGGGCCAAUGUGUAGCGUGUAUCAUCGUCUUCCAUUGACUGGGUUGGGUUUACCAUCGAGCACAUAAGUAAACUAGCUUAAACAACUACCCGAGACCGGGCUCUCUAACCCUGUUUCUGGAGAGUUACGUUCCUGUAGGUUUUCGUUGCAACCCUAAAGCACCUGAUUCUAAUAAUUUAUUUGGUUGAGCAAUUGAAUCAGUUCUGAUAGCAAGGUUGCUGGUUACACCAACCAGUUACCCGCUGAUCCAUUGCUGAUUGACUUAACUGAACCUGUUUUUCUCGGUUGCGUCUCCCUUCAUUCCUGACAGAAAGAGGACCACCUGGUUUCUACUGGGCGGGCUACCAGGGAUCAUGAGUUACCAGAUUUCACGGAUAUCAAACACUACCUCCAAUACCUGAAACUUGAUGAGCCAAUCAUCGGUUUGAGUCUUUUGGCGGAGGUGGAGCCAGUCUCCCAUGACCGUCAGCCUGGCCCAAGAUACAUCUGCAGAUUAUGCGAUCUGGAGGCAUCCUUACCCAACAUGGUCAAUCAUUUAAUUGGUCGCAGACAUCGACAGAAUUACCUGGAUAUGAAAAGGAAAGACUUGGUGACAUGGGACAGUACCAAUGCCCUGGCUCAAUCAGGGAAGGCUUUACGAGCCAUGGCGGAGAUUGUGGAAAGACAGAAUGGGCAAGGAAGUCCAAAGCCUUUGAGGAAAAAAACGAAAUGCGGGCAAAUUGAACAUUUCUAGAG